This 534-nucleotide ribosomal RNA is filed under the name Bifidobacterium pseudocatenulatum. Its description in RNAcentral is "bacterial SSU rRNA". It matches the Rfam family "Bacterial small subunit ribosomal RNA", at positions 164 to 708 of the family's 1533-position model. Lineage: Bacteria; Bacillati; Actinomycetota; Actinomycetes; Bifidobacteriales; Bifidobacteriaceae. The record is from RNAcentral.
UAAUGCCGGAUGCUCCGACUCCUCGCAUGGGGUGUCGGGAAAGAUUUCAUCGGUAUGGGAUGGGGUCGCGUCCUAUCAGGUAGUCGGCGGGGUAACGGCCCACCGAGCCUACGACGGGUAGCCGGCCUGAGAGGGCGACCGGCCACAUUGGGACUGAGAUACGGCCCAGACUCCUACGGGAGGCAGCAGUGGGGAAUAUUGCACAAUGGGCGCAAGCCUGAUGCAGCGACGCCGCGUGCGGGAUGACGGCCUUCGGGUUGUAAACCGCUUUUGAUCGGGAGCAAGCCUUCGGGUGAGUGUACCUUUCGAAUAAGCACCGGCUAACUACGUGCCAGCAGCCGCGGUAAUACGUAGGGUGCAAGCGUUAUCCGGAAUUAUUGGGCGUAAAGGGCUCGUAGGCGGUUCGUCGCGUCCGGUGUGAAAGUCCAUCGCUUAACGGUGGAUCUGCGCCGGGUACGGGCGGGCUGGAGUGCGGUAGGGGAGACUGGAAUUCCCGGUGUAACGGUGGAAUGUGUAGAUAUCGGAAAGAGAACA